This 240-nucleotide ribosomal RNA is filed under the name uncultured bacterium. RNAcentral's name for it is "partial 16S ribosomal RNA". It matches the Rfam family "Bacterial small subunit ribosomal RNA", at positions 96 to 334 of the family's 1533-position model. The record is from RNAcentral.
UGGCGGACGGGUGAGGAACACGUACGAGACCUGCCCUUGGAUGGGGAAUAACCCCUCGAAAGGGGGGCUAAUGCCGCAUACGGUCCCAGGCAGCAAGGUCUGGGAGGAAAGCCCUUUGGGGCGUCCGAGGAGGGGCGUGCGGCCGAUUAGCUAGUUGGUGGGGUAAAGGCCUACCAAGGCGACGAUCGGUAGCUGGUCUGAGAGGAUGGUCAGCCACACUGGGACUGAGACACGGCCCAG